RNAcentral lists this ribosomal RNA (350 nucleotides) under Borreliella garinii. RNAcentral's name for it is "bacterial SSU rRNA". It matches the Rfam family "Bacterial small subunit ribosomal RNA", at positions 1186 to 1533 of the family's 1533-position model. Lineage: Bacteria; Pseudomonadati; Spirochaetota; Spirochaetia; Spirochaetales; Borreliaceae. The record is from RNAcentral.
CAAAUCAUCAUGGCCCUUAUGUCCUGGGCUACACACGUGCUACAAUGGCCUGUACAAAGCGAAGCGAAACAGUGAUGUGAAGCAAAACGCAUAAAGCAGGUCUCAGUCCGGAUUGAAGUCUGAAACUCGACUUCAUGAAGUUGGAAUCGCUAGUAAUCGUAUAUCAGAAUGAUACGGUGAAUACGUUCUCGGGCCUUGUACACACCGCCCGUCACACCACCCGAGUUGAGGAUACCCGAAGCUAUUAUUCUAACCCGUAAGGGAGGAAGGUAUUUAAGGUAUGUUUAGUGAGGGGGGUGAAGUCGUAACAAGGUAGCCGUACUGGAAAGUGCGGCUGGAUCACCUCCUUU